Long non-coding RNA from Oncorhynchus tshawytscha (Chinook salmon), 937 nucleotides. NCBI's taxonomy places the organism in Eukaryota, Metazoa, Chordata, Actinopteri, Salmoniformes, Salmonidae. The record is from Ensembl.
UGGGAUGACCAACACUGGUAGGUAGAGACAGACUGGGAUGACCAACACUGGUAGGCAGAGAGACUGGGAUGACCAACACUGGUAGGCAGAGAGACUGGGAUGACCAACACUGGUAGGUAGAGACAGACUGGGAUGACCAACACUGGUAGGUAGAGACAGACUGGGAUGACCAACACUGGUAGGUAGAGACAGACUGGGAUGACCAACACUGGUAGGCAGAGAGACUGGGAUGGCCAACACUGGUAGGUAGAGAGACUGGGAUGACCAACACUGGUAGGUAGAGACAGACUGGGAUGACCAACACUGGUAGGUAGAGACAGACUGGGAUGACCAACACUGGUAGGUAGAGACAGACUGGGAUGACCAACACUGGUAGGUAGAGACAGACUGGGAUGACCAACACUGGUAGGUAGAGACAGACUGGGAUGACCAACACUGGUAGGCAGAGAGACUGGGAUGGCCAACACUGGUAGGUAGAGAGACUGGGAUGACCAACACUGGUAGGUAGAGAGACUGGGAUGACCAACACUGGUAGGUAGAGACAGACUGGGAUGACCAACACUGGUAGGUAGAGACAGACUGGGAUGACCAACACUGGUAGGUAGAGAGACUGGGAUGACCAACACUGGUAGGUAGAGAGACUGGGAUGACCAACACUGGUAGGUAGAGACAGACUGGGAUGACCAACACUGGUAGGUAGAGACAGACUGGGAUGACCAACAAUGGUAGGUAGAGACAGACUGGGAUGACCAACACUGGUAGGCAGACAGACUGGGAUGACCAACACUGGUAGGUAGAGACAGACUGGAUGACCAACACUGGUAGCUUGGCAUGUAAAGGCGAGGAAGAUGCCAAUGCCACUACAGUAUAUCUCCAUGGAAGUAUGAACCCCCAUAGCUAGCUACAGUUGGGCUCAAUUCCAUUUCAAUUCCAGUCA